GAUGAACGCUGGCGGCGUGCCUAAUACAUGCAAGUCGAGCGAACGGACGAGAAGUUCGCUUCUCUGCUGUUAGCGGCGGACGGGUGAGUAACACGUGGAUAACCUACCUAUAAGACUGAGGUAACUUCGGAAAACCGGAGCUAACACCGGAUAAUAUUUUGAACCGCAUGGUUCAACAGUGAAAGACGGUCUUGCUGUCACUUAUAGAUGGAUCCGCGCUGCAUUAGCUAGUUGGUAAGGUAACGGCUUACCAAGGCAACGAUGCAUAGCCGACCUGAGAGGAUGAUCGGCCACACUGGAACUGAGACACGGUCCAGACUCCUACGGGAGGCAGCAGUAGGGAAUCUUCCGCAAUGGGCGAAAGCCUGACGGAGCAACGCCGCGUGAGUGAUGAAGGUCUUCGGAUCGUAAAACUCUGUUAUUAGGGAAGAACAUAUGUGUAAGUAACUGUGCACAUCUUGACGGUACCUAAUCAGAAAGCCACGGCUAACUACGUG
This 497-nucleotide ribosomal RNA is filed under the name uncultured bacterium. RNAcentral describes it as "partial 16S ribosomal RNA". It matches the Rfam family "Bacterial small subunit ribosomal RNA", at positions 28 to 507 of the family's 1533-position model. The record is from RNAcentral.